UUAAAUAUUAACUUUUUUACUCAGACGACACUAAUAAUUCAGGGUUUUGGGUCCUCUGGCGGGCACUUACCAGCCGAAGCCAGUAGCUAGGCGGCCCGCCAAAGCAACAAAGGUAUAGUAUACAAAGGGUGGGAGAUCUACCCGUAAGGGCAUGAACUCGGUAAUGAUCCUUCCGCAGGUUCACCUACGGAAA
RNAcentral lists this unclassified non-coding RNA (193 nucleotides) under uncultured fungus. RNAcentral describes it as "sequence contains ITS1". Lineage: Eukaryota; Fungi. The record is from RNAcentral.